This is a long non-coding RNA of Hyla sarda, 873 nucleotides long. RefSeq lists it as uncharacterized. The transcript has 4 exons. NCBI's taxonomy places the organism in Eukaryota, Metazoa, Chordata, Amphibia, Anura, Hylidae. The record is from RefSeq and is a predicted model, not a curated record.
GUCCCUUGACCCAGCUAAGAACCACUCAGAAUAUUGAAAUAAAAAAAGCACAAACGGAUGCGCUCCGUAGUGUAACACCAAAGGUCUAUUUGGAGCAUUACCAUUUAAAGGAGACUUCUAUAGCCCAAAUUAUCAACAACAGACGAAAAACAACCUGAUGCCUACUACUAUGGUAUUUUCAGACAUACAGUUGUAUAAUGAUAAAUUUGAAUUCGGAACAAAAUUUAAGUAUUCGUACAGAGAGAAUACAUGACUUAUGUUUGGUGAAAAAAAGAAGCAUGAAAAAUCUGAAAGGAUGAAGAAUACCUUAACUAUGUACACAGAAAUAUGUAGAAGUAAAAGAAAGAGAAAAGUGAUAAAUAUCUGAAAAUAUUACUGGCAUUUCUUCCCUGGGGGAGAAAGGAAAUUGAAGCAAAGCACAGACUGUUUUGUUUAUCAAAAAAGUACUGUAAAUGGAUAUACAUGAUCUCCUAAUGUUUUAUGAAUACAAAAUGAACAUAACAUAGACAAUGACCCUUUUCUUAUGUAGAAAAAAAAUUCCAACUCUAUUUUUGUCUAUAGGACAAUGUUUUGUAUUGUAACUCACUUCUAUUAAUUUACAUGGCAAAAUAUAUUCUUGUUGAGGCCUGGCCAUGCUUACUGCCACAAGCUGUAUAGAAUUGCACCCAGUUAAAGAGGACCUGUGGCCAAACCCAAAACAUGAGAUUGUACUAUCAAUAUAGAGGUACUCCGGCACAGAAAAAAAUUCAGCAAUUGAAUGACAUUUACAAAGUUAUUUAACUCAAUAUUCUUGUUCUGAUGAUUCUAAACGAUUAUAUGCAUAUUAAUACUCUUUACCGGAAAUUGUGUAGUCCAGUAGAUUUCAGUCCAGUU